CACACACACACACACACACACACACACACACACACACACACACACACACACACACACAGGAGGUUCUGGAUCCAGUGUGGAGACAGCUGCUCUGCAGGUCUACAGUAAAACCCUAACACACACACACACACUAUCCUAGCUGGAAAGUCCCUAAUGAUUCUUUUUUUCCAGCCCGGUAAGCAUAGCUGUUGUAACAGUGCGAAGGCUAUAAUUUGGCUAGGCUGGGUACCAAGGUGAAAUUAGCCUUACACUGCAUGGGUGUUAAGAUAUGGAAUCCAAAAAAAGGUCUGGGAAACAUAUACUUUGUUUUAAUUAAUGGGCAGUCGAAGCACAAUGACACCCCUUCCUGGCUGAUCCUGUUCCUUCUCGUCUGGUACACCCACUGUCCCUGUGUCUGGUUUCACCUCUCAGAUCCUAUUGAAGUAGUAGUUAUUGACCUAGGAGAUGGGGUCAGGGUCAGGGUCAGUAGUAGUUAUCGACCUAGGAGAUGAGGUCAGGGUCAGUAGUAGUUAUUGACCUAGGAGAUGGGGUCAGGGUCAGUAGUAGUUAUUGACCUAGGAGGUGGGGUCAGGGUCAGUAGUAGUUAUUGACCUAGGAGAAGGGGUCAGGGUCAGUAGUAGUUAUUGACCUAGGAGAUGAGGUCAGGGUCAGUAGUAGUUAUUGACCCAGGAGGUGAGGUCAGGGUCAGUACUAGUUAUUGACCUAGGAGACGGGGUCAUGGUCAGUAGUAGUUAUUGACCUAGGAGAUUAGGUCUGGGUCAGUAGUAGUUAUUGACCCAGGAGAUGGGGUCAGGGUUAGUCGUAGUUAUUGACCUAGGAGAUGGGGUCAGGGUCAGUAGUAGUUAUUGACCUAGGAGAUUAGGUCUGGGUCAGUAGUAGUUAUUGACCUAGGAGAUGGGGUCAGGGUCAGUAGUAGUUAUUGACCUAGGAGAUGGGGUCAGGGUCAGUAGUAGUUAAUGACCUAGGAGAUGGGGUCAUGGUCAGUAGUAGUUAUUGACCUAGGAGAUGGGGUCAGGGUCAGUAGUAGUUAAUGACCUAGGAGAUGGGGUCAGGGUCAGUAGUAGUUAUUGACCUAGGAGAUGGGGUUAGGGUGAGGGUCAGUAGUAGUUAUUGACCUAGGAGAUGGGAUCAGGGUCAGGGUUAGUAGUAGUUAUUGACCUAGGAGAUGCGGUCUUGGUCAGAAUAGUUAUUGACCUAGGAGAUGGGGUCAGGGUCAGUAGUAGUUAUUGACCUAGG
This is a long non-coding RNA of Oncorhynchus tshawytscha (Chinook salmon), 1236 nucleotides long. NCBI's taxonomy places the organism in Eukaryota, Metazoa, Chordata, Actinopteri, Salmoniformes, Salmonidae. The record is from Ensembl.